UAUUGGGCAAUGGGCGCAAGCCUGACCCAGCAACGCCGCGUGAAUGAAGAAGGCCCUCGGGUUGUAAACUUCUUUUAUCAAGGACGAAACAAAUGACGGUAUUAGAUGAAUAAGCAACGGCUAACUACGCGCCAGCAGCCGCGGUAAUACGUAGGUGGCAAGCGUUAUCCGGAUUUACUGGGUGUAAAGGGCGUGUAGGCGGUACUGCAAGUCAGAUGUGAAAACCAUGGGCUCAACCCAUGGCCUGCAUUUGAAACUGUAGUUCUUGAGUGUUGGAGAGGCAGGCGGAAUUCCGUGUGUAGCGGUGAAAUGCGUAGAUAUACGGAGGAACACCAGUGGCGAAGGCGGCCUGCUGGACAAUAACUGACGCUGAGGCGCGAAAGCGUGGGGAGCAAA
Molecule: ribosomal RNA, 396 nt
Filed under: uncultured bacterium
Lineage: Bacteria
Description: bacterial SSU rRNA
Rfam family: Bacterial small subunit ribosomal RNA
Source: RNAcentral